This 490-nucleotide ribosomal RNA is filed under the name uncultured bacterium. RNAcentral's name for it is "partial 16S ribosomal RNA". It matches the Rfam family "Bacterial small subunit ribosomal RNA", at positions 30 to 507 of the family's 1533-position model. The record is from RNAcentral.
AUUGAACGCUGGCGGCAUGCUUUACACAUGCAAGUCGGACGGCAGCACAGAGAAGCUUGCUUCUUGGGUGGCGAGUGGCGUACGGGUGAGUAAUAUAUCGGACCGUACCGAGUGAUGGGGGAUAACUAAUCGAAAGAUUAGCUAAUACCGCAUAUUUUCUGAGGCGGAAAGCUGGGGACCUUCGGGCCUUGCGUUAUUCGAGCGGCCGUUAUCUGAUUAGCUAGUUGGUGGGGUAAAGGCCUACCAAGGCGACGAUCAGUAGCGGGUCUGAGAGGAUGAACCGCCACACUGGGACUGAGACACGGCCCAGACUCCGACGGGAGGCAGCAGUGGGGAAUGUUGGACAAUGGGCGCAAGCCUGAUCCAGCCAUGCCGCGUGUCUGAAGAAGGCCUUCGGGUUGUAAAAGACUUUUGUCAGGGAAGAAAAGGCUGGUGCUAAUAUCGACAGCUGAUGACGGUACCUGAAUAAUAAGCACCGGCUAACUACGUG